AACCUGGUUGAUCCUGCCAGUAGUCAUAUGCUUGUCUCAAAGACUAAGCCAUGCAUGUCUAAGUAUAAGUAUUAUACAGCGAAACUGCGAAUGGCUCAUUAAAACAGUUAUAAUUAAUUUGAUAAUCGAAUUUACAUGGAUAACCGUGGUAAUUCUAGAGCUAAUACAUGCUGGUAGGCCCGACUUUUUGGAAGGGCGGUAUUUAUUAGAUAACAAACCAAUAUUCCUCUGGUCUAUUGUGGUGAAUCAUAAUAACUGAUCGAAUCGCAAGGUUUUUAACCGCGAUAAGUCAUUCAAGUUUCUGCCCCAUCAGCUUUCGAUGGUAGUGUAUUGGACUACCAUGGCUUUUACGGGUAACGGAGGAUUAGGGUUCGAUUCCGGAAAGGGAGCCUGAGAAACGGCUACCACAUCUAAGGAAGGCAGCA
This 425-nucleotide ribosomal RNA is filed under the name uncultured marine eukaryote. Its description in RNAcentral is "SSU rRNA". It matches the Rfam family "Eukaryotic small subunit ribosomal RNA", at positions 1 to 430 of the family's 1831-position model. The record is from RNAcentral.